CCUACGGGCGGCUGCAGUGGGGAAUAUUGGACAAUGGGGGGAACCCUGAUCCAGCCAUGCCGCGUGUGUGAAGAAGGCCCUCGGGUUGUAAAGCAAUUUCAGUGAGGAAGAACGCCUGGUGGUUAAAACCCAUCAGGAAAGACAUCACUCACAGAAGAAGCACCGGCUAACUCCGUGCCAGCAGCCGCGGUAAUACGGAGGGUGCGAGCGUUAAUCGGAAUUACUGGGCGUAAAGCGCGCGUAGGUGGCUUGAUAAGCCGGUUGUGAAAGCCCCGGGCUCAACCUGGGAACGGCAUCCGGAACUGUCAAGCUAGAGUUCAGGAGAGGAAGGUAGAAUUCCCGGUGUAGCGGUGAAAUGCGUAGAGAUCGGGAGGAAUACCAGUGGCGAAGGCGGCCUUCUGGACUGACACUGACACUGAGGUGCGAAAGCGUGGGUAGCAAACAGGAUUAGAUACCCCAGUAGUC
This 465-nucleotide ribosomal RNA is filed under the name Vreelandella stevensii. Its description in RNAcentral is "partial 16S ribosomal RNA". It matches the Rfam family "Bacterial small subunit ribosomal RNA", at positions 338 to 795 of the family's 1533-position model. Lineage: Bacteria; Pseudomonadati; Pseudomonadota; Gammaproteobacteria; Oceanospirillales; Halomonadaceae. The record is from RNAcentral.